Molecule: long non-coding RNA, 1472 nt
Organism: Mya arenaria
Lineage: Eukaryota; Metazoa; Mollusca; Bivalvia; Myida; Myidae
Exons: 4
Source: RefSeq, a predicted model, not a curated record
AUAUUUGGUUUGAUUGCCAUCGGGCCUGAUCAACACUUAAACAUUAUAGAUACUUUCAUGGCAUUUUCACAAACAUGGCAUUCUUUUUUUCUUAAAGAAGAUGAAAGGUAUUAUUUUGAGCUUUUUAUUGCAUGAAAUGAAUAUGUUAAUUGCAUCUUUUUAUGUUUAAGUAGAUAGGUUAAAACAGUUAGUGUUAUACAUCUGUAUGAAUUUACAAUGAAUAUAUAUAUUAGUUUUUUAUUGUAAGUUUAGAAUUUCAUUGCCAAAAUUUAGGGUUGGUAGCUCAGGUGUUCUUGGUGUUUUGUUUUGUUUGUGGUCCGGGGAGUUAGGCUGUGUCAUACAAGCAUUUCCUGUGAUAAAACAAUCCGGUAACUGUGCAAGAAACGUCCGCAUUUUUCCCGAAAGGACAACAAAACGACGUACAAGUUAACCGCUAGCGAGCUAUCUAGCCGAACCCUAUGGGUGACUGUCUGGCACAAUGACUGAUGAAUGAAUUCACGAUUAACUUUGAGUACUACAAGUUUGAUGACCCUCCCCAAGACGGUAUCGCCACCAGGAGAGGGUUGCUCGGGGGUUUGCAAGUACUUGUUACCAGAAAAAUAGAGGCAGCGAACAGAAGACGCCGGUGAUCCGUUAGGAUUGUAAUCCAUUCUGAAAUCAUACAUUCACUUUCGAUGAUAGAGCUACGGGAGCGCAGUCUAGAGUUAUCUAUCUGGGACCACGAGAAACUCUCGACCAUGAGUCAAGGCAAGCCAGUAGAUUGGAUGGAUGCGCGGGGUGAUGUCAAUAUGACAGGCGAUGCUGGACAGACCCAAUCUUUGGAUAGACGGGGCUCUUAUACUCCGUCCGAACAUGGAUAAACGCAAAUACUAAAUGAGGAAUAAAUUUCCAAUUUGUCAUCGGACAGAGGCUUUUUUGUUUAUUUAUUUCAUUUAAAUGUGGAUUGAUGCAAAUACCAAAUGGGGAGUGAAUACCAAAUUGUUUUACUGGUUAUUCUUAAUCUGAAUAUAGAUAUCGUUGAUGAUUUAGAAUAAUUAUCUUAUUGGUGCUGUAAAAACUACAACCCUGUGAAUACAAAUUGUAAAAACUACAACACUUUCAAUACAAAAAGACACACUUUAUACUAGAGUGAUGUAUCUUGGUUUGUAUAGAAUGUGAUCUUUAGUAAAAUACCUAAUUAGCCAGAUAUUGAUUCAUUUAUAAAUUCUGGAUAUUAUGUUAUGGAAAAACAGGCGAGCAGGUGGGCGUUAGGUGGGCGCAAAUCCAAAACCUUUCUGUAUUCCCGUUGAUUUACACAUUUUGAAUUGGAAUGGGCUUUAAAGGGGCUAGACACCAAAUUAUAGAAUUGCAAGAUAAUUUUGGUCAAAAAACGUACCUAAAAUUGUAAUCGUUUUGUACAAGGCACAUGCAUCUUUCGCUGUUUUUGCGCAUUUUUUUCCAAUUUGAAAUUUACUACUUUUGUCUACCAUGUA